RNAcentral lists this ribosomal RNA (433 nucleotides) under uncultured bacterium. Its description in RNAcentral is "partial 16S ribosomal RNA". It matches the Rfam family "Bacterial small subunit ribosomal RNA", at positions 29 to 507 of the family's 1533-position model. The record is from RNAcentral.
AACGAACGCUGGCGGCAUGCCUAACACAUGCAAGUCGAACGAUGCCUUCGGGCAUAGUGGCGCACGGGUGCGUAACGCGUGGGAAUCUGCCUUUCGGUUCGGAAUAACUCAGGGAAACUUGAGCUAAUACCGGAUAACGUCGCAAGACCAAAGAUUUAUCACCGAAAGAUGAGCCCGCGUAGGAUUAGCUAGUUGGUGAGGUAAAGGCUCACCAAGGCGACGAUCCUUAGCUGGUCUGAGAGGAUGACCAGCCACACUGGGACUGAGACACGGCCCAGACUCCUACGGGAGGCAGCAGUGGGGAAUAUUGGACAAGGGGCGAAAGCCUGAUCCAGCAAUGCCGCGUGAGUGAUGAAGGCCUUAGGGUUGUAAAGCUCUUUUACCCGGGAAGAUAAUGACGGUACCGGGAGAAUAAGCCCCGGCUAACUCCGUG